This 562-nucleotide small RNA is filed under the name Arabidopsis thaliana (thale cress). RNAcentral describes it as "ATSL043450". The record is from RNAcentral. Lineage: Eukaryota; Viridiplantae; Streptophyta; Magnoliopsida; Brassicales; Brassicaceae.
AAUGAAUAAAUAAAUAAAUCGACCAACAAAACCAAGAAUAACUAACAAUCCUAACCGGGUUCCAAUAACCAAAACACAAAAAUAAAACAAACGAGUUCAUAGAUCAUCCUCUCUUCUUUGCCAUGAUUCCACGAUCAUACUUUAUCUUUACCUUCAUCAACAAUACAAUAAAAUGCGUAAGUAUUAUCAUAAAUACUUAAUGAGGCGAUCCUCCCAUCUACGAGCUGUACACACAAGCAAAUAAAAGGGUAUAAACACAAAUACAACACAAACACACUAGUCAUUGAACAAUUCACCCAAAAACACAUUCACCGCACAUAUAUAUUAUCACACAAAAUAAAUCAUACAACCCAAUCGCUCAGAUAAGCUCAUGGUCAUGCACUUACCUUAACAAAUUGAUUCUAACAAUAAAUAAACUCAGGAGAGACUCUCCUUGCCUCUGAAACAGUCCAGAAACGUCCUACAACAAGUCACAACCAAAAGCAACCUUGAAGCAAACUGGACAUGAAAAACAGAAACAAACAACCUCAAAGACGAAACUCUAAAAUACAGACCAACGGUU